RNAcentral lists this transfer RNA (69 nucleotides) under Circus assimilis. Its description in RNAcentral is "tRNA-Asp". RNAcentral also lists the same sequence under 1 other name. Lineage: Eukaryota; Metazoa; Chordata; Aves; Accipitriformes; Accipitridae. The record is from RNAcentral.
GAGGUGUUAGUAAAAUAAUUACACAGUCUUGUCAAGACUAAAUUACAGGUGAAACCCCCGUACACCCCA